Non-coding RNA from Dermatophagoides farinae (American house dust mite), 643 nucleotides. NCBI's taxonomy places the organism in Eukaryota, Metazoa, Arthropoda, Arachnida, Sarcoptiformes, Pyroglyphidae. The record is from RefSeq and is a predicted model, not a curated record.
UAUUAAUCAGCCGGCAUAACAUUGGCACGAUAGAGAUUUCAAUUUUUUCGAUGAUGAUGAUCAUCAUCAUCAAUUUUGAUUCUCCAUUUACUGGUUAUGCCUAAAUCAUAAUUGCGAUUGCACUCUCUAUAAAUUGUUUCAAUCGUCCAUCAUUUACGAAAGGUACGCGAGAAUAAUUUGAAUUCGAAUUUUUUUUAACGGCAUAAUCAUCCAAUGGAUGUACUUUGGUCAAUCAAUGGUCGUUCCAUUCAGCAUUAUUGAUGCCAAUAUUGAUCAUGAUCAAUUGAAGAGAUCUACUUUGAAUUGUUUUUAACAAAAAAAAAAUCAAAGUCUAUAUUUUAUAAUUGAUACAUUUCUUAUCCUUUUCUAGAAUGUAGGAUCUCAAAUUUAAUACCAAAUUAUCACCAUUAAAGAAGAUUCUAAAAUGGCUUCGAAAUUUUCCUGAAAUUGUACAAACAAGUCUGGUUUUAUACUGUGGAUAAUCCAAUUGGGGAUAUUUCCAGUCAUUAGAGGUUGUUAUUUGGAUGGAUUUUUUCUCACCAAAAAAAUGUUUAUAAUCUCGAAAGGACACAUGUAAAACACCAAUCGAUAAAUGAUCAUCGUCAUCAUUGUUUAUUUGAAUGAAAAGUUUUUUGUUUCGAAA